Arachis duranensis is the source of this 2470-nucleotide long non-coding RNA. RefSeq lists it as uncharacterized. The record is from RefSeq and is a predicted model, not a curated record. Lineage: Eukaryota; Viridiplantae; Streptophyta; Magnoliopsida; Fabales; Fabaceae. The transcript has 4 exons.
UUGACCUAACCCCCCAAAUCCCCAAUCAUUAACUUGCGACUGCGCUCUCUAUUCUCUAACCCCUACUACUCAGUCGCUCUCGCUCUCUCUUCUCCAAAUCCCCAAAGCACGACGCCACCCACAGCACCACGUCAAAGCCUUCCUCUUCGCGGAGACGCCACCCACAGCACGACGCCGUCGCCCACGCACAACACCAUGCCGUCGCCCACGCACAGCACUACGCUGUCGCCGUUGAGACGCCACCACCCAGCACCAGCAGUGUUUCUGGGUUCUCCCACUCAGCGCCACUAUCAUCAGUUCAACCUACUCCCAGCACGGCAGCACCUCCGAGUCUCCCAGUCAGCCUUCCUCCCAAGUCAACAUGGAGCCCGAGCCACCGAUUCAGUUUGACGUUAGUUCAAAUGAGAAUAUGGGUGAAUCCGGAUUGUUGCCAGUUCCUCUUUUGAAUGAAUCAACAAGCAUCAGAUCUCCGACUGCAUUGCCUCCUGUCCCAACUCCUCAUUGAAACACAACAAAGCUUGCUAGUAGAGGCCGAGAAAAAAGGCGGGCUAUUGAAGAAGCUCCCGUUGAUGACUCCGCUGAAACUGAGACUGACGAAGGUAAGAGAAAACCUUGUAGGCCUAGGUCAUGGACAUGGGAUCACUUCACUAAAGAUGAAACUAGUAAUCCACAAUAUCCUAGAGCUAAAUGCAAUUGGUGUGGGGCUAGUUAUGCUUGUGAUACACAUAAAAAAGGCACUAUUAACAUGAAAAAUCACUUGUUGUCGCAAUGCAAAAAAUUUCCGAAGGAAGCAUUAGAUCCUAUCCAAAAGAUUUUUUGUUUUCAAUAUGUGAUAAAAGAUGAUAGGAAAGGAAUAGGUAGUUCACUUUCUGCCGUGUCAUUUGAUGUUGAUCGUUGUAGACAAGCACUUGCUAGAAUGAUUAUUGUAGAUGAAUUGCCUUUUUUGCAUGUUGAGGGGGAGAGUUUUCGUUAUUAUACGAGUUGUUUGCAACCCAAGUUUCCAAUUCCUGGAAGGCUCACGGUUGCUAGGGAUUGUUGGAGGAUUGGAACUCACAUCCAUUAAGGGGAGAGUUUUUACAUGUUAGAUGUUGUGUUCAUAUUUUAAAUCUUGUUGUGAAUAAUGGGUUGAGAGAAAUGCAUGAGUCAAUUUUAAAGAUUAGAAAUGCAGUUCGGCAUGUGCGUGCAUCACCGGGUCGUACUGAGAGGUUUAAAACUAGGAUUAAGGAAGCUAGAAUUAUGGAAAAAGGCACUGUCCAUUUAGAUGUUCCUACCAGGUGGAACUCUACCUUUUUAAUGUUUGAAAGUGCUUUGAAGUUUCAAAAGGCAUUUAAACGUUUGGGAGAGAGAGAUUCUGAAUAUGCUAUGCUGGCUGGUGGGAUUCCUAAGUCUGAGGAUUGGGAGAAUACAAGACAUUUUGUCAAGUUUUUAAAAAUAUUUUAUGAGGUUACUAACAAAGUUUCUGGUUCAACGUUUGUGACAUCUUCUCAACACUUUAAUGACUUUUGUAAAAUAUUGUCACCACUUAAGCAUUGGAUGGGAAGCUUGGAUAUGGUACUUUCAGGCAUGGCUGAGAAAAUGAAGUCCAAGUAUGAUAAGUAUUGGGGAAAUAUCAAAAACACAAACAUAAUGAUUUUCAUUGCAGUUGUUCUUGAUCCUAGGUAUAAGCUUCAAUUGAUUAAGUGGAGUUUUGAAAAGUUGUAUGAAAAAGAAGAUGCUGAAUUCUUAACUUCAAAGGUGAAGGAUACACUUUUCAAGGUGUUUGAUAGCUAUAGGCUAUUUGGUGGUAACUAUAAAAGAUCUACUCGGCAAGAUCCUCCUGAAAUAAGCACACACGAGCUUGAGGCACAUAAAACUUCUUUUGCUAUGGAAUUUGAAAAGGAAAUGCAAUUCAAUGAGAGUGCUAACAAGAAUGAGGUGGAGUUAUAUCUUAUGGAGGCAUUAAAAAAGACUGGCGUGCAGUUUGACAUUCUAAAUUGGUAGAAAGUGAAUUCCACUAAAUAUCCAAUUCUUGGGCAGAUUGCAAGAGACGUCUUAGCCAUGCCAGUUUUCACAGUUGCUUCAGAAUCGGCAUUUAGUACUGGAGGAAGGGUGUUGAAUAAUUAUAGGAGUUCUCUAACUCCGAUGAUAGCUGAAGCGUUAAUUUGUACACAAAAUUGGCUCCGAAACUCUCCAAAACUUGUCCUUGAGGAACUCAUCGAGGAAUUGGAGAAGUUGGAAUUAGAAGUUGCACCCACUCCUGAUCCCAAUGAAGAAGAUUCUGGUGUUGAGUGUGAUUGAAUACAUCUUGUUAUGGUUGGUUUGCAUUAAGAAGUUUAACUAUUUUAUUGGAGAAGACACCAUAACUUUGCUAUCAGUUUAAUGACAAUUUAUUUUUAUUUUCAGUUGUGUUGACUGUUGAACUAUUGAACUUCUUUAAUUAUCGUAUUUGAAUUCUGUUGUCGUUAAAUUUCAUUAGAUCAAGACUUUGUUA